This 511-nucleotide ribosomal RNA is filed under the name uncultured bacterium. Its description in RNAcentral is "partial 16S ribosomal RNA". It matches the Rfam family "Bacterial small subunit ribosomal RNA", at positions 28 to 523 of the family's 1533-position model. The record is from RNAcentral.
GACGAACGCUGGCGGCGUGCCUAAUACAUGCAAGUAGAACGCUGAAGGAGGAGCUUACUUCUCUGGAUGAGUUGCGAACGGGUGAGUAACGCGUAGGUAACCUGCCUGGUAGCGGGGGAUAACUAUUGGAAGCGAUAGCUAAUACCGCAUAAGAGUAGAUGUUGCAUGACAUUUACUUAAAAGGUGCAAUUGCACCACUACCAGAUGGACCUGCGUUGUAUUAGCUAGUUGGUGGGGUAACGGCUUACCAAGGCGACGAUACAUAGCCGACCUGAGAGGGGGAUCGGCCACACUGAGACUGAGACACGGCCCAGACUCCUACGGGAGGCAGCAGUAGGGAAGCUUCGGCAAUGGACGGAAGUCUGACCUAGCAACGCCGCGUGGGUGAAGAAGGUUUUCGGAUCGUAAAGCUCUGUUGUAAGAGAAGAACGAGUGUGAGAGUGGAAAGUUCACACUGUGACGGUAUCUUACCAGAAAGGGACGGCUAACUACGUGCCAGCCGCCGCCGUAA